This 215-nucleotide ribosomal RNA is filed under the name uncultured Fusibacter sp. RNAcentral describes it as "partial 16S ribosomal RNA". It matches the Rfam family "Bacterial small subunit ribosomal RNA", at positions 1168 to 1382 of the family's 1533-position model. Lineage: Bacteria; Bacillati; Bacillota; Clostridia; Eubacteriales; Fusibacteraceae. The record is from RNAcentral.
GGAAGGUGGGGAUGACGUCAAAUCAUCAUGCCCCUUAUGAUCUGGGCUACACACGUGCUACAAUGGUCGGUACAACGGGCAGCGAAAGAGUAAUCUGGAGCGAAUCCUAAAAAGCCGAUCCCAGUUCGGAUUGUGGGCUGAAACUCGCCCACAUGAAGUUGGAGUUGCUAGUAAUCGCGAAUCAGAAUGUCGCGGUGAAUGCGUUCCCGGGUCUU